UUAUAACAAAAUACUUUUUAACAAGGUAAAUUUCUUGAAUAGUGAAGUCCAAAAAUUGACUAAUGAGCUAAAAAUGAGAGAUGUGUGUAUUGAUGCAUUUAGUGAUAAAUCUCCUGUUAAAACCUUUCUUGAAAAUGAACUUCAAAAAGAAAUAGCUUCAUUAAAAUUAUCUCUUGCUAAAUUUGUCCAAGGUGAAGAAAAUUUGAAUGUCAUAUUAGGUAAACAAAGACCUAGUUUUGAAAGACAAGGAAUUGGUUAUGACCCUAUGCAUAAAAAGAGUAAUAUAAAAAUGCUAAAAUCAAAGUCACGAUUUAGUUUAAAUUAUUGCUCUCCUUUCACGACUUGUAAGCAUUCUGGUAUUAAAGGACAUUUAGAUAUAAAUUGUUUUAAGAAACGAAACAAGGUUAAAAAGGUAUGGAUUAAAAAGAAUGAUUUGCUUGCUACUAACAUAAGUGGACCCAAAAAGAUAUGGGUGCCAAAAGGAUAAAUUAUUCUUUCUUGACAGGUAUGCUUAAAGGCAAGAGUUUCAUCUCAAAAAUGGAUUCUUGAUAGCGGAUGUUCUCGGCACAUGACCAGUGAUAAAUCAAAAUUUGUAGAACUAAAUAUCAAGAAGAAGAAUGGAACGGUCACGUUUGGAGACAACAAAACCUGCGAAAUAAUUGGAAAAGGUAAAAUUAGUAAUGGCAAGGUAAGUAUAAAUAAUGUGCAUCUUGUUAAUGGCCUUGAAUUCAAUUUAAUUAGUAUUAGCCAAUUAAUGGAUAAUGGUCAUCAAGUUAACUUUGAAAAAGAUAAAUGCACAAUAUUUCAUGGUACUAACAAUACUACUCUAGUUGCACAAAGAGAAGGAAAUAUAUAUACUCUUGAUUUUGAGCAACAGGAUGAAGAACUAUGUCUUACUUCAGUACAAGAUGAAGCUUAUCUAUGGCAUAAAAGGAUGGGACAUGUUCACAUGGACUUAAUCAAGAAACUAUCCUCAAAGAAUCUCGUCAAAGGAUUGCCAAGAAUCAGGUUUGAAAAGAAAGGAAUAUGUAUUCCUUGUCAAUUGGGAAAACAAGUAAGAACUUCUUUUUCAGCAAAGAAUAUGGUAUCAACCUCUUCUCCUUUGCAACUACUUCAUCUUAAUUUAUUUGGACCUGAAAGGUAUUCAAGCAUUAAUGGUAAAUUCUAUGCUUUUGUAAUAGUUGAUGAUUUUUCAAGAUACACAUGGGUUUUAUUUUUGAGAACUAAGGAUGAAGCAUUUAAAGAAUUUGAAAAACUAAUAAGAAAUUUUGAAACAAAGUAUAUUUAUAAACUUAUUAGAAUUAGAAGUGAUCAUGGUACUGAGUUUCAAAAAGAUUUUAUAACCUUUUGUGAUCAAAGGGGUAUUAGCCAUGAAUUUUCAGUCCCAAGGACUCCUCAACAAAACGGAGUGGUGGAAAGAAAGAAUAGGACUCUACAAGAAACGGUGAGAACUACUGCAAGAAAGUAAGCUUCCAAAGAAAUUUUGGGCCGAAGCCGUAAGUACAUCAUGUUAUAUUUUAAAUAGAGUUCUUAUUCAUCCUAUCAUUUUGAAAACACCUUAUAAGCUUCUAAACAAUAAAAUUCCAAAUACAAGUUAUUUCAAAGUUUUUGGUUCGAAAUGUUUCAUCUUAAAUACAAGUGAUAAUUUGGGAAAAUUUGAUACUAAGUCAUACGAAGGAAUUUUUAUUGGUUAUUCUCAAAAUAGUAAGACUUAUCGUAUCUUUAAUAUUAGAAAGUCAUGUGUAGAAGAAUCUGCUCAUAUCACUUUCAAUGAGACUAACAAUGAUCUGCCAAAAGAAAGUGAAGAUGAUGCAGGAAAUUUAGAGAUAGUCAUCAUUCCAGAAAACCGAAAAGAACAAAACGGGAGACCAAAUGAGCAGUUUCAGGAAACUAAAAUGGACAACCAGCAGGAACGUGAACCUAAAAAUUUGCAGGAUGCUGAAGAUGAGUCUCAUGAUCAAGAGGAAGUGUUACAUGAUAUUCAAAUGCCAAAAACAGCUAGAUAUGUCAAGAAUCAUCCUCCAGAGAAUAUCAUUGGAGAUAUCAACAAAGGUGUAACCACACGAAGAGGUUUACAAAAUCAUUGUGCAUUCUCUGCAUUUUUGUCACAGGUUGAGCCAAAGAAUGCAAAAGAUGCAGUCCUUGAUGAAAAUUGGUUACUGGCAAUGCAAGAAGAACUUCAACAAUUUGAAAGAUGCCAAGUAUGGGAACUUAUGCCUCCUUUAAAAGAUGCCUCCAUCAUUGGUAUAAAAUGGGUAUUCAAAAACAAGCUUGAUGAUCACGGAAUAAUCACUCGAAACAAAUCAAGGCUAGUAGCCCAAGGGUAUAACCAAUAAGAGGGAAUCGACUAUGAAGAAACCUAUGCACCUGUGGCUAGGUUAGAAUCAAUCCAAAUUUUGUUACCAUUUGCGUGCUACAAAAAGUUUAAGCUGUAUCAAAUGGACGUAAAGAGUUCUUUCCUCAACGGAUACAUUAACGAAGAGGUCUAUGUGAAACAACCUCCUGGAUUCGAGCAUGAAAAGUAUCCUAAUCACGUCUACAAAUUAAAGAAAGCUCUUUAUGGUUUGAAACAAGCUCCAAGAGCGUGGUACGAAAGGUUAAGUAAAUAUCUCUUGUCAAAUGGAUUUAUUAGAGGAAAAAUAGAUUCUACAUUAUUUAUUAAGCAUAAAAAUAUAGAUAUCAUUAUUGUUCAAAUAUAUGUAGACGAUAUAAUUUUCGGUGCUACUAAUGAUCAUCUUUGUGAGUGGUUUUCCAAGUGCAUGAAUAAAGAAUUUGAUAUGAGCUUAAUGGGUGAACUCAACUACUUUUUGGGACUUCAAAUCAAGCAAACGAAGGACGAAAUUUACAUCCAUCUAACAAAAUAAACAAAAGAAUUACUCAAGCGAUUUGGCUUUGAAGGAUCUAACUCAAAAGGUACACCGAUGAGCACAUCAAUAAAGCUCACUACUUAUGAAAAAGGUAUUGAUGUUGAUAUAACAAAAUAUCAAGGUAUGAUUGGAUGUUUACUAAACUUAACUGCUUCUAGACCCGAUAUAAUGUAUAGUGUUUGUUUAUGUGCAAGAUUUCAGGCAAAACCCAAAGAAUCACAUUUAAAUGCUGUUAAAAGGAUUUUUAAAUAUUUAUGUGGUACAAUAAAUUUAGGGUUAUUUUAUCCAAUUUCCAAUCACUUUGAACUAAUAGGUUAUUCAGAUCCUGACUAUGUAGGAUGUCAAAUCGAUAGAAAAAGUAUGAGUGGUGCUUGUACUUUCUUGGGACAGAGUCUCGUGUCAUGGCAUAGUAAAAAGCAAACCUCAGUGGCUCUUUCAACUACUGAGGGUGAAUACCUAGCUGCAGGAAGUUGUUGUUCUCAGAUAUUAUGGAUGCUACAAACUCUAUGUGAUUUUGAUAUAUUAUGUGAUUGUGUGCCUAUUUAUUGCGAUAAUUCUAGUGCUAUAGAUAUAUCUAAAAAUCCUAUGUUACAUUCACGUACUAAGCAUAUAAAAGUUAGGCAUCAUUUUUUAAGAGACAAUGUUUCAAAAGGGUUAAUUAAAUUGAUUUUUAUUCCAACUGAAAAUCAAAUUGCAGAUAUUUUUACAAAAACUUUGAGUGAAGAUAGAUUUUGUAUGUUGCGAAGAGAACUUGGGAUGUGUCUUUCAUAAUUUGUUUAUCAAUAUGUGUUAUCCUAACUUGCAUGAAUAUCUUAUUAUUUAAUAAGGGUAAAUAUGGGUUUUCAAACUGUCAACCGUCUACUUAACUCCUUAAUUCAUGCACACAUUAAUCAAGGAGUCUAUCAUAAUUGGUUUUGAAAACUGAAAAGACCGAAUGGAAAUAGGAGUCUCGGGAGACGUAAGUAUGCGUGCGUGUGUUUUAUCUAUUAAAUAUUUUUGAAAACUGAAAAGACGGGUCUAUGAGGGUUUCUUGGGAGACGUUAGUAUACAUAUAUACCUCUGUGUUUAUUAUUAUACUCCAUAUCUUUCCAUUCUUCUCUAUAUUUUCUACUUCUAUUUUCUUUAUAUCUUAUAUCUUUUCUGAUUCUUUCUUACCUUAUAACCUUGUUCUUCCUCCACUCACCAUGAAAACUCGUACGCAUAAGAGGUCAUUGAUCGAUUCCGACGACGAUCAGGCGUCGGUUCCACCGCGGAUCAUCUCGCCAGAAAAAGAAACUGAAGAAAGUUGUAUCUUCAGAGACAGAGUACGUGGACUCUUCAUCUUCUGACGAGUCUACUUUCAAUCCAUCUCUGCCCAAAUCUACUGGACCCUCUCGGCGUCAUCAGUCUUUCAAGCCAGAAGUUACACCUCCUUCUAUUUCGAUAAACCCUAACUUGUCUUCUGAUCUGCCUGAAAAUUAUUUUCGAAGUAAUGCAUACGAGGUACGAUUUAAAAUAGUCAUUUUUCCUAAACAAUUUAUUUAUGAAAAAUCUGUUGAUCAGAUCUGUUUUUAGCAAUCUCCUCUCAAACUGUUAUUUGAAACAUGUGGUUUUUCUUCAAUGCUUUUUCCUCCUUCUGUGGCUUAUCCUAGACUUGUCCAACAAUUUUACACAAAUCUAGAAUAUAAUGGUGAUUUUUAUACUACUUUUGUCAAAGGCAAAUCAUUAUAUUUCUCUGUUGUGGAUUUUGGUAGUAUUUUGAAAAUUCCAUCUUCUGGUGUGUGUCCUUUUACAAAGAAAGGUGCUGUUCAUUUUCCUUUCACUCCUCUGGAACAAUUACAAUUUGUGAUGAACAACAAUUCAUUGACUGAUGUUUUCACUCCUAAGACUGUUGAUGUCUCUCCUGUCUCUUGCGUCCUCCAUCAUCUUGUUAGAUACAAUCUGUUGCCUCGGUUAGGUGGAGGAGCAGAUUUUAUAUAUCAGAAUUUGAUUAUUGUUGCUCUGAUUUUAAGAGGUGUGUCUUUUAAUUUGUCUCAACUCAUGCUUCAUCAUAUGACCACAUGUUUGCGAAAAAUCAAGACGUGUUUGCCUUACAGUGUUACUCUCACUACUUUGUUUAAACAUUUUAAAAUUUCUUUUGAAGAUGAAAAUUCUGUUUCGGUUACCGAUUUUAUCAGUGUCAGUUCCCUGAAAAUGUCUCGUAUAAAUUUACUUGAUGGUAUGUUUGUUCGUGUACCUUCUGAAACUCCUGCUCCUCCGGUCUCCAUUCCAUCCUCUCCUGUCCAGCCUCAUAGUCAAUCUUCUCCUGAAAUUAUGGACAUGUUGAAAGUUAUUUUGUGUAAUCAAGAAAAGAUGCAACUUGAGAUGACUGCUCUUCAUAAUAGAAUGUCUGUGUUGGGAAAAGGUAAGUUCCCAUUGGGUGCACCUAAAAUCAAUAAACUCUAUCAUAACAUUGAAGAUGAGUUUAUUGAUUUGCAAGCUGGUUUUGAGGUAUAAACAACUGCCUUAGCUGAGUUGAUGCAACGACGUCUCAAUCGAAAUUCUUGUCAGUUGAGUCAGGAGCUUAAGUUUGUUAGUAAUCAAAUAAGGGAGUUGGCUGAAUUCAUUUCUGUUCGUUUCAAUGAUGUGGGCGCUAAACUCCACAUGCAGCAUAAGCAUUCAACGGUUCUGGAGUGGGUGCACUGCAAUUGGUUGGCCGAGUAUCAAGGAGAGUUUCUGGAUGUCCCUCUUCCCCCUGCCACUAUCAUUCCGAGGCCUCCACAAUUUGCUGCUGGUUUGAGCGUUGCUGAGAAGGUACACCGAGCCAAUCACCGCCCAUAUUUCACUCAGCGUGCAGCUCAGCAUGUGGCAGUGGUAGAGCUCGACGAAUGAAUUGCUUCCUUUUUGUUUGAUGACAAAGGGGGAGAUUAUUUUGGGUUAUUUAUGGACGAAUUUUAAAAACUUUAAAAUUUUAUGUUUGUUUUGGUUUGGUGUGAAUCACCAAAAGACUUAUGUUUAAUUUGGGAUUUUAAAUAUUUGAUAAAUUUGCAGUAGAUAUUUUGAUGUUUGAUGGACUAACAAUUACUGCAUGUAACAAAUUUACUGAAAAUUGAUUUUCAGUAUCCUGAAAUACUUUUAUUGCAUGGAUUUAAGGGGAGCUACUUAUGUUAUGCAUAUAUUCAGGGGGAGUUAAUAGGAAUUAAACAAUUUUGGGUUGUCAUCAUCAAAAAGGGGGAGAAUGUUGACUUUGUCAUAUUCAAUCCUUAAGUUUUGAUGAUGAAAUGUUCAAGUACUAAAUUGUUUUAUGGUGUUUCGGGUAUUUGUUGAUAAAAGAAUGUUGGUGAGAUUUUCAAGUGAAGGAAGCAAGUGUUUCUUAUUUCUAGGAGACAAAUGUAAGGUCAAUCGAAUAGUAAUUGAUUUUUCAUUUAAAGGCUCUAGGACAUUAUUAUUUGCAUUCUUUUUAUAUGUCUUAAAUGAAAAAUGUUUUUAAAAUCUUAUGAAAAAGGUUUUUGUGGAGUAAUACAUAUAUGAAAUAUCUUGUGCAUAAUAGCCAUACCUUUUGCAAUUUGAUAUAUAUGUAUUUAAAAUUAUGGUUACACGUGGAUAUGUAUGAUAGUAGCUAGUUCUCUUUAAGUUGUUGCAUGUGCGGUUUUUGAGGUGUAAUUAUUUCAUGCAUUAAUUAUAUUAUAAGCAUGCUAGCCUUGGUAGGUGAUAUGUCCUUCAUGGAGAUCUAUAAAUAUCUAGCAGCUUUAUCUCUUGAUGAUUUGAUGGAUACGUAUUUCAAGGAAAAGCUACUAUCAUUAUCUUGGACUCUUAAAGGUCUUGGAAAAAUAACUAACUGAUGUGCUUCUAUGUUAGACGUCACUUUUGAGUAAGGAGAUUAAGUCAAAGUUAUUUAUCUUUCAAGUCUUUUGAAUCUUUCCACUAACAAAAGUUUGUUUUCUUAAUGUGGAUAUACAUUAAAGAUGUGGACUUCAUCUAGCUUUUCUGUUGUGAAUAUUUCCGUUGGUUUUUUUUUUAUUAGAACUUAUCUUAUUAACGGUAAUAUAAUAUGGGUUAUAAAAUCAGUGUUCUCAAGCAUGGAAAAACAACUCACGAAUUUAUUAUUGCACUUAUUAUUGUUAUUGAGCAAAUUGAUUUAUUGAGUCCAAUUCUUGAGAAGCUAAGCAGUUUAAUUUUUGGUAUUAUUUAAGGUGGUAUUCGGUAAGAAAUUAAUUGCUUAUUUAUUUUGUUCUAAUUGAUCAUUGCAUAUAGUUGAGCCUUUAAUUGUUAAAUUGAUUAUUCUUGCAUUGAUCAUAGACCUCUAUAAUUGUAUUGAAUUUUCUGUUUUAGACUAAGUGUAGUCUAAAGGUUUUAAUCCUAGUGGAUUAGAGAAAGAGUUACAAACAGGUUCAAGGAAGCAAAGGUAUUUGAAGAGUGCAUAGGUGCACAAGGAGCAAGAGAGCUCAAGGGAAAUUAAUUGUUAAUUAAUUUUGUUGGAAUCUGUUUUGUAAUCUGUAUUUAUUUAUAAAAAAAUAAAUAAAGUGAGUCUCCAAUACUAGUUGGUAUUGGACGUGGACUAGGCUAUUAUUAUAGAGGGUAAUAGCUGAACCACGUAAAAAAUCUUGGUGUUGAUUUUAUUAUUUGCUUUACUUUAAAAUCACAUAAGCAAUUUUAAUUAUCUUAAUAAUUAAAAUUUGAAUACUUGCAUUAUAUUAAGAUAAUUCUUUAACAUCAAGUAUUUUAUUUAAGAUAUAAAUUUAGCAAGAUAUUUUCUAAAUAGGCUAUAUUAAUUCAGUAAGCUGAUUUCAAUCAUUAUAGUAGCCUGAAAUUAAUAGUUUAAUUUAAAGUUUAAAAAUUGGUCAUAGAUUGCUCCUACACUUAUUCAACCCCCCUUCUAAGUGUGCCUAGAUAAAUUUCACCUAGUUGGAAUUUAAAUGGAGUUUUAGAUGAGAGAUAGAAGAGGAAGAGAGAUCAGAAAUUAAGAAAUGGAAGAGAGAGAAAAAGGAAAAGCUAAACUAUGAUAUCCCGAAUAUUAACAAUAUUCCUUUUAAGGGAAAUAUUAAAAGAUUAAAUAAGGGUUAGAUAUUAAAACCUAGUUUAUUAAAGAAAAUGUGUAAAAAUAAGAUUAAAUUUUUUUUAUCUAUGUGCUAUAAAGAGCCAAUAGAGUAUAAAAUGAUUGUGAAGAAAGACUUUUAAGAUAAAAGGCUCUAACUAAGAAUGUUACGAGACAUUAUGAAUAUUACUUAUUCAUAAUGAAAAGAAAGUAAUAUGCGGAGUUAAAUAAAUUUUAUGAGAUGUAGUAAGUAAAUGUAUUAUUAAAUUUAUACUUUUAUUAUUCAAAAUGAAAAGGAAAACCAACAAGGCUUAAUUGGAAAAUAUUCUUGACAUAAAUCUACCUAUGAGAUCAAUGUAAUAAUUAUAUUAUAAAAUAGUUAAUUUCAUCAAAAAGUAUUAUUUAGUGACAAAUAAGGAAAUUGGUGUGCUACCAUUGGUAUUUAUAGAGCCAUCAUGAUGUAUGUGCUAAUUAUUUUUGUCAAGCCUAAAUAAAUAUGGUAGAUAAAAUUCAUAUAUAUGGAUAUGUAAUGAGAGUCCAUAUUAAGUUAUUGGGCCAUUUUAAUGCCACUACGUAUGCUUACAAGCCUUCUCUAUUAUUUUCUAGAGUAUGAGUUAUUGCUUAUGCGAUAAGUGCCUUGAGCCUAAACCAAAAUCAAUGCCCAACCUUUUUGGUGUCCUCAUCCGAAAGCCACAUGAAAUGAAAAAUAGAGCUGUUUUAGUCUAAUAAAAUUGAGCAGUUAGUUGGCUUUAGUAGUCAUUAAGUUAGCAAUUGGUUAGUAAGUUAGAAUUGGCUAGUAGGUAGUUAGAGGCAUAAGGUGGCUGUGAUGAUAUGGCUACUCUUAGGGGCUAAGUAGACUGCUAGCCUUUGAUGGUUAUCAGCUGAGCUGUGAGGAGGCUGCUAGGAGGCUAAUUAGGGGCUAUGGUAGAGGCCAAUGUAGGGGCCGGGUAGAGGCUAAACAAAGUAGCUAUGUAUAAGUGAUGAUGGAGAGCAGUAAUAAGCCAAGUAGGUUGAUUGAAAAAGAGAGAAAACUCAACCAUCUAUGGACAUACAAUACACCUGAGAUCAGUUAGCUUCUAUACUUAUCUGAGUUCCAAAAGCAAUAUCAAUAGUAGUCCAUUAGAUUGAGAGAGUAACAAAACUAUGGCUGGAAGGGAAUGAAGGAUUGAGCAGCAAAGCUACUUUAAUCUCUAGAAGUUAGCAAGCUUAAACUCUUUCCAUUCCUUUUCUAUUUUAUAUUUGAUAGUAGAAUGGACUGUUAGUGGCUAUAGUAUUAAAUAAGACCAUGGUGGUUAUUAUGAUAAUAUUAGUGCUUUGUGUUGUUGUUGAGGAAUUAUAUGAAGACCCUUAAUAAAUCAAAAGUUAAAAGGCUUGGGAAAAUGGACAAGAAAUUAGUUGUUCCAUAUAAAUAAAAAUUAUUCUCACCAACUGUUUGAUUAAAUGUCCUACUAGGGACUGUUAAAGUAUAAAAGCAUGAUAGCUAUGAAUUAGAGUCCAAAAUUAUAUCUAGUAGCUUAUAUAGUAAAACUAAUGCUUCAAGUAUGUUUCUAUGCUUAAGUAUAACAUGUUUUAAAGCAAAUUACAAACCAUGAUAGCUUUUUUUAGGAGAAAAAAAAAGUUAUUUUGACUGUUAUUGGAAGCUUGUUUUAUAACUGUUAUGCCAUUUUUUUAGUGUUGACUUUAUGCUAUAAUAAGGUGUCUUUCAUACAAAACCAUGAAGGCUAAUAGUUACGAAGUUAAAGUGAUAUUUCCAGCCAAGAAAGGAUCAAAACAGGACAGUUUGGGCCUGUUUAAAAUAGGCCAGACCAAGCCACUAUUUUGAGAACUAGUAUGCUAGCUAAAUAACUUAUUUAUAGACUGUUAUGGCUAAAUAUUUGAGCCAUCCGGAUAAAGAGGUUCAUGUUGUAUUCUAUGAAUAAAGUCAGUCCAUGCUUAUAUAUAUGUUAUGUUAUCCUUUGUUAAGCAUGUUGCUAGCUCAUGUUUUCUUGUGGAACUUAAAGCCUAUAAAGGGCUAUUUUGAACAAGAGCAUAAGGCCUUACAUAUAUGUGUUUUAAACCAUGAACAUAUAGUAUAUAGUAGGUUCAUGUUGUGAUAAUGCAUAUACUUCAAUACUUGAGACUGUUUUGGUGAAAGGGUGUUAACUCAUGCUUAAUAUGCCUAGAAAAAGGAUUGUUUUAGUGUUAGAAAUUGAACUAACAUUUACAAGCAUGCUAAUGUAUAUGGUUUUAAGUUUUAAUGAUGAUUUAAAGUUUGUAUGAGGGCUUAAAGGUCCCUUGAGUCCUAGGAUGGGGAUUGUUUGUGUGUAAUAGCCAAAAUUGUGCUUAAAAUCUAGAUUUGAGAACUGUUUUGGUCAAGGUCAGUACCUAAACUUUUGAGUCAAUAAGGAGACCAUAAUAUUUCCAUAAAUAAAAUUUAAAAGUUGUUCCUUAACUUAGUUGAGGUCCAUAUUGAGUACUACUCAGUUUUCAUGUUUAAAGUUGUAAAACCCCAACUUUUGAUAAAUAAAAUUAAAUUUCCUCUAUUAAUUAUUCUGAAAUAGUAAGGGGUGGGUUUGGUUAAUGUGGUUAGUUAUGGGCAAAAUGUGCAAAUUUUUUGAAAUAACCAAGUGGUUAUAAAAUAUUCAUUGUUGUCGGGGAAUAUUCGUUUGGUCGUGGAAUAUUCUUAUUGUCAGGGAAUAUUCAUACGACGGCGCAGCCAUUUGUGGGGCGUGGACCCCAUAACAGAAAAUGAUCGGAUGAAAAAAAUGACAAGUUUGAGUUUUUAUAAAUGAUGGCGUAGUUGUUACCGUUAACACUGUUGGAAUAUCUGAUGGUUAAAAUACAGUAAUACGCGUGGUUGCACAGUAGCACACGGUAUUGCACAGUAUUCUAGAAUUAUUGAUUCUUACGUAAGAAUGUACUACUCAAUAAUUGUUAUAGUAAUUACUGUUCAAUAUUUUAUUUUAUUGAUUCAAUAAUUGCUACGUUGAUAUUUUAUAUUAUUGAUUCAAUAAUUGUCACUACACAAUAUUUUCCAUUAUCAGAUCAAUAAUUCAUAUUAUUUGAAUAAUAUUAUUAGAUAGCAUUAUUGAAAAUGUCUAAGGAAUUUCUGUCUAGGAAAGGGGUUUGGUCACCUAAUUGCACGUCAGUAAGAAGAAAUCCUUAUCGAAAAGCCCCCUCUUUCUUGGGAACGACUUGGUUGUCAAUAUUAUAGUUCUGUAAUAUUAUUUGUGAAUAAUUAAUUGUUGAUAUAUAUGAAAAGAAAAUAUAUAUUCAAUGUAGAUAUAAACGGAGGAAUUUUUAGCAUGUCACAUUUGUUAAAGUCGGUAUUUUUUAUCUUUUUUGAUAAAUAAUUCAUUCAAAUAUAUUAUUAUAAUAUUACAUUAUAGUAGUAUGAUGUGAUUAUAUAAUAGUAUGAUUUUUAUAAUUUGAGUGGUAACAUUAUUAUAGUAAAUUCAUGGUAUAAAGUAAAAUGAGGUGGAAGAGAACAAAUUGAAUUUGAAUUCGUACGAUAUAAGCAAUGAUGUCAUCGGAGCGAUGAGGUAUGCAAUGAUGUCAUCGGAACGAUGAGGUAGCGAUGAUGUCAUAGAUUAUGGUAAAAAGACUAUUUUACCCUUACUCUGCCAAGCCUAUAAAUAGAAGCUCAUUUCUUCAUUAUUUUUCACCAAUUCACUAAAGCUAUAGAGAAAGAGAAAGUAUAUAGAGAAUAAGAGAGAAAGAAGAAGCUUAUCCUGCUAUUACACUAGUGCAGUCUCUGAAUUUUUAUUAACGUAAGGGGUAUUAUUUUUUUCGUAUUCAUGAAGAGAGUUAUUUCUUUCAAUACUCGUAAGGGUUGUUAUUCCAUUCUUUAUUAUUCUGUUGGAAUAACCUGUCUCCGCGGACUACCGCAUGCAUUGUGACGCCCCCAAAACAGGUAUACAUCACCCAUCUUAAGUCGCCAAAUACAUGGUACAGAAUACAAAUACAAACUUAAUUAUACAAACGUCGUGUAAUAUACGACAAAACAUAGCUGAGAGUUUAAACAGGAAUAUUGCCUUCUAGACAAUAUCCACUCUCAAAUAGAGUCCUCAUUACAUUUAUUGUUACACUAUUUUAUAGAAUAGUGAGGACUACUAUAACACCAUCUCGGACCAUCACUCCGUUCCCCGACUAGUCCCGGUUACGUUCUCAUUUUCUGAAGAGAACAAUGAAAGCAAAAGGAUGAGCUCAACUAGCCCAGUAAGAAAUAUUAUGACUAAGAUAAUGCAAGAUAAAUUACCAUUAGCCUUCAAAAAUGUUAAACUGAUAAAAUACAAUAGACAUCAAGUUUAACUGCAGCGGAAAAAGCAAUCCACUAGAAGAGUCAAGUAGAGCAUAAUAUCUACUAUCUUCUAUGAUUUAAAAUGUUUUCAUCAAUUUUUAUCGCUGAGACUCAGCUUAAUAAAUAAACCACAUCAUCGAGUCAUCCCUGCACUACAGGCCAAGGAUAUUCAUUAAAUCAUCAAUGGUCAUGACUAUACCGAAUAAUCCCUGGUCAUAAUCAUACCAAAAAUUGUCCAUCAAUGCACUACAGGCCACUAAGGACUUUUACCACAUCAUUUAUAACAUUAUAGGUCCUGAUUAUAUAGAAUGAUCCCUGAACAUAAUCAUACCAAUUCCAUCUAUGCACGUAAGCCAAAGAUGACUUUCAUCACAAUAUAAGCAUGAGGAUGAUGACAAUGACAUAAUAAUUCAAUAAAACAAGUUCAAGAAUAAAUUUUAAAGAUUUAUAAGUUAAUUUAUCCUGAAAUCAAUUACGUCCAAAUUGUCAACAUGAUACUGCUUUGUGGAGUAAAAUUCAAGAAUGCUCAGAAGAAUAUUUCCAUGAAAAGAUACUGGAUGAAGCGCAAAUAUCCAGGAUAUUCUACUAAUUUCAUGGAGUAUAGAAGCCAAAACUUUAACCAACUGAGUAUAAUAGAAUAUAUGAAACUGCAAAUGGAUUUUCGCCCGCCAUGCGGUAAUCCACGUAGACAGAUCAUUUCCACAAUUUAAUAAGGAAUGAAUACGAAGGAUCAUUCACCAUGCAUGUGGUAAUCCACAUAGACAGGUUAUUCCAACAGAAUAAUAAAGAAUGGAAUAACAAAAGAAUUCACCAGGCAUGCGAUAGACCGCACAGACAGGUUAUUCCAACAAAAUAAUAAAAAAUAGAACCAGGUCAUGCGUAAUUCGCACAGACAGGAUAUUCCAAGAGAAUAGUAAAGAAUGGAACCACGUCAUGCGUAAUCCGCACAGACAGGAUGUUCCAAUAGAAUAAUAAGGAAUGAAAUAACAACAGAAUUCACCAGGCAUGCGAUAGACAGCACAGACAGGUUAUUCCAAUAGAAUAAUAAAAAAUGGAACCAGAUCAUGCGUAAUCCGCACAGACAGGAUAUUCCAACAGAAUAAUAAAGAAUGGAAUAACAACAGAAUUCACCAGGCAUGUGAUAGACCGCACAGACAGGUUAUUCCAACAGAAUAAUAAAGAAUAGAAUAACGGAAGAAUUUCACCAUGUAUGCGGUACUUCGCAUAGACAGGUUAUUCCAAUAUAAUAAUAAAGAAUGGAAUAACAACCCUUACGAGUAUUGAAAGAAAAUAACUCUCUUCAUGAAUACGAAAGAAUAAUACCCCUUACCUUAGAAAGAAGAUAUUCCAAUGGGUAGGGUGAGGAUAUUCUUGACGAAAACUUAUACUGUUUUCUACGCUCAAAGCUUCUUAAAACUCUAAAGAAAUACGCUCAAGAUUAUAGAAGAAGAAUUCUCUGAAUUUCUGGUGUGUUUUCAAUUCUAACUAAGCAUCCUAUUUAUAGGAGAAUAGAAAGGAUACUAUGCAAUAAAAUAUAAUAUAUUCUAUUUAUAAUAUAUAUAUAUAUAUAUAUAUAUAUAUUUAUAUAUAUAUAUAUAUAUUAUUUUAAAUCUAAUAAAAUGAAUAACUUUAUAAAAGUAUUCUGUUUUAUAUAAAAAUAUUUUACUAUGCAAACACUAUGCAGACACUAUGCAUAAUAAAAUAUAUUAUAUUCUAUUUAUAGUAAAAUAAAACAAAACUUUAUAAAAAAUAUUCUGUUUUAUAUUAAAAGUUUUCUGUUUUAUUACAUUUAUAAUAAUAAUAAAAUAAGGGGGGUGUAUUCAAUUAGGAUUUUUAAAGACUUUAAAAGACUUUAAAAGUUUGGGUGUAUUCAAUCAAGACAUUUAAAGAGUUUAUAAAAGUUUAGUGGUAUUCAAUUACAACUUUUUUAAUGUCUUUAAAAGUUAGGUGGUAUUGAAUUAAGAUUUUUUCAAAGUCUAUAAAAGUAUUUUGGUAUUCAAAAAGUCAUAGACUUUUCAGAUUUCUAUUAAAUGGUAGACUUUGACAGACUUUAGAAGAAGAAUUAUAACUAUCAACCCAUAUCCAAAGUCUAACCUCAUCUCUAAAGAUUUCUAAAGACUUUCAAAUAAACACAAAGGUGGAUAAAACUAGUUAUUAAUUGGAUUUUGUCUUUUAUUGAGUCAAACUAAUUAUUUAUUUUAUAUGUGCAUAGGUUUGUUCAAAUAGUAGUAUCAUUAUGAUGAUAAGAAAAUAAUAUACCAUAUUAUAAAAUUGUCAACAUUUUGAUAGUCAAUUACAUUGUUCAUUUACAAAGUUUCUGGCGUCAUCAAGGUUCAUCAUGCAAUUGACAUUUUCCUACAUCACGUCAUUCGCUUGUGCAUGAAAUUGCACCAGUCACUUGAGAAACGUCAGCCCUAAAUGAUUACUACUCUAAAGUCUAGUUCACUGGUGCCUUCCAAAUUCAAAUUCCUUUUUUAUUUGGUUAUAACAAGGAGAUUUUCACCAUUGAAAAAAAAUGGAAUAGAUGUUUCCACAUGCACAACGGCUUUAGAAAAUCCUCAGAAAAGAAACUCACAAGAUUCUCACUUUUGUUAAAGCUAAACAAUUGUAUUAAAUAUAUGAACCUAUUAAACCAUAAAUAAACUACACCUUAAAAAUGAUUCAGUUUUGAUGUUUAGACAAGUGAAACACUAAGAAUGAGAUAUACUCGGUUGUUUCUGAUAAAAAGAAUAAGAAUAAAAAAUAGUUUGAGCAUAAAUACAUAAUUAAAGUAUCCAACAGUUUGAGAAUAAGAAUAUGAGCUUAAUUUUUGUAUUGCGUCUGUAAUUUCUAAAGUUUUAUUGGUAUCCGAGUAUCCAAAUGUAUUAUGAAAUGAGUAGAAUAAUAUGAACGCUUUCAACAUAUAUAAAAUCUCAUGCCACAAUAAUAUAAUGAGAUUUACUCUAGUUCAUGAAAAAAGAGAGAGAUGUUGUACACAUGGGCUAAUUAACAAUUAAUAUAAAUUACAAGAUAUAUUGAAGUAUACAAAAGUCUAUCACAGUCUUAAUAAAAAGUUUAUAAAAGUCUGUUACUUAUUUCAUAGAGUCUAUAAAAGUCAUUUUAAAAGAGUCUUUAAAGUCUUUGAAAGUCAUUAAAAUCCCACAAAUUCUACAAAAGUAUGUCACUUAAAAAAAGUCAUUAAAAAUCUUAAUUGAAUACACCCCCCUAAAACUCAUCAUCAUUAUUAUAAUUCACACUAUUAAUCGACCAAGUCAUUCUCAGGAAAGAGGGGGCUUUCCAAUAAGGAUUUCUCCCUAUUGGCGCGCAAUUAGGUGACCAAACCUCUCCUUGACAGAACUUCUAGACAUCGUUAAUAUUGCAAAUAAUAAUAUUAAUAACUUUGUUAUCUCAAUUAUUGAUUUAAUAAUAUAUAAAAUAUCGACAAUAAUUGAAUCAAAUAACGUGAGAUACUAUGCAACAAUUACUGUAGCAAUAAUUGAAUAAAACUUAGUGACUUCUCACGUAAGCAUCAAUAAUCAAUACUGUGUGCUACUAUGCAAGCACGCGUAUUACUGUACUUUUAACGCCGGGUGUUUCAACAGUUAACGGUAAAAUUUCCGCCGUUAUUUUCAUAAAAAUAUUUUUGUCAUUUUCUCAAUCCGAUAAUAAUUCCGUUGUGGGGUCCACCAAUGAUUGUGCUGUCGUACGAAUUUAAAAUGAAUAUUCCCCGACCAAUCGAAUAUUAUAUAACAACUUGCGUACUUUGUAAAAUUUAUAAAUAUUACCCACAACUAUAACAUUAUAUCAAAUCCACACCAUAAUAUUCAAAAAAAAUAUUUCGAGAAAUUUAAAUCUUUAUUCAUAAAAUUUGGGGUCUCACAAUCUCUCCUCCUUAUGAAAUUUCACCCUCGAAAUUUACUUAUGUUCCUGGUAUGCCGAAGAAAUGAGGAUACCUUAACUUUAUUUCAGAUUCUAACUCUUGAGGUAUAACCUUUGAGUGUUAAAUACGAUCCUUCUUAUCUAAGAUUUUAACACGUAUCUCCUCAUACGUUAAAUCUUCUGCUAUCUCAUCUAGUUUUAAUUCAAUAAUGUGGUUCGAGUCGUCCACAUAUUUACGUAACAUCGAUACGUGAAAAACGUUAUGAACACACGACAAACUUGGCGGUAAAGCGAGUCUAUAGGCCACAGUUCCUACUUGAUCGAGAAUUUCAAAUGGGCCAAUUAAAUCGAGGGUUGAGAUUUCCUUUCUUCAUCGAUUCUUGCUUCUAGAAUAACGCCCUCUUGAACCUUCUUCUUCACAUUCAUUAGCUCUGAGUUUGUAGCUUGAGCGGCUUUAACUUUAUCGAUUAAAGUCGAUUCUACUCGUAUAUUCGCUAUCUUCACAUGGGUCUCUAGAGUCUUUAACUCUAUCUUCAUUAUUUGUAAGUUAUACGAAAUGGGUUUUUGUGUUAACAACAUCGCACUCGUAAACGCAUACGAUCUUCUACUCAACGCGUCAGCUACUACGUUCGCUCUUCUAUAAUGAUAUUGAAUGGUAUAGUCGUAAUCUUCAACAGCUCGAGCCAACGUCUUUGGCGCAUUAUACGUUCGUUCUAGGUGAAGAAAUAUUUAAGGGUUUUAGAAAUGGGUUUUGUACUGAGGUCAAUACAAAAUUCGAUUUCACGCUCUAGGGGUAGGCUAAGAAGUCUUUAAGAAUACGUCAGGAAAUUUAUUAACAAUAGAAAUGUCAUUCAAAACUGUGACUCUCAUCCAAGACUUGGAUAGUAUGUCACAUCGAUACCUAUCAACUUGCCAUCGUCAUUCACGACGUCGCCUACAGAAAGUCUGGCUUCAGUGCAUUACACAAAAAGAAGUCAACAACGAAAGGAUCGGGGCUCUUUACUUAUGGCUUGAUAUAACAGUGAUUAACUUUAGUGGUUUGGUUGCUUGAAUUCGCAUAACAGGUUAGUUAGGAAUAUGAAAUCUAACAACCUUACGAAAAUCAUGAUGAGUAGUUAACCAAUCGAUUCCUAAAAUUACAUCAAAGGCAAGUAUUUUCAAAGAGAUAAGAUCGACAGGUAACAUGAAAGUGUCAAUUUGAAUCAGCAAGAUUUAUAAACAGUGGAGGUAACGAAGGUUUCUCCUAACCGAGUUUCAACCAAUAAGUCAAAGUCUAAUUUCUCUGGGGUCAAAUUUAAACGUUGAGAGCAAGCAAGAGAGAUAAAAGAAUUGUUAGAACCGGUAUCUAAUAAGGUAUAGACUUCUCAAAAAUUUAUAAUUAACUAACCCGUGCUAACUUCGUUUGGGUUACUCAUUUUUUGAGAAGUCACGAAAAACGCUCUUCCUGAAAGCACCGACUUUGUUUUGUCUGUAUCCGCCUUUGGUGCCACCAUCCCAGCUGGACUUGAUUUUAGUGCAUGACAAAAUCGGGCUAGGUGACCUUCUCUUCCACAAUUGAAACACGCUUUGGACUGCUGCAUACAGUUUGGACUGAUGUGUCCUUCCCUUCCACAUUUGUAACAUACGACCAGUGGUCGUUCUCCUUCCUUAACAACAGGUGUUGAUGCUGAUGUCUUUCCAUCAUUGUUGAAUCUCCUUUUCUUGAAAUGUCCAUUCUUAUUAUUUUGGCCAUGAUUACCCUUGAAGUGAUUGCCAUUUCUGGCAUGUUAAUUCCCUCCAUGCUUAUUGUCACCGCUUCGAUGACUGCUAUCACUGGUAUUAUCAUUUUGCCGGCUGCUCUCUUUUGGUUAGGUUGAUUCAUUAUCAUGCUCCAAUAACUGAGCCUUAUUAACAACAUCUGAAUACAAACACAGUUUAUGAGAGAUAAGAUAUUGACGUAUCUUGGGUUUCAAACCUCUUAGAAACAUUCGCGUCAUUCUCUCCUCAUUAUCAACCAAGUGGGACGCAAACCGAGAUAACUCGACAAACUUAGCUUCAUAUUGUGCCACGGUCAUAUUAAUUUGCUCAAGCUUGAUGAACUCUACCUCCUUCAUGUGACGAAUACUUUCAGGAAAGUACUUGUCGUUGAACAGUUCUUGGAACUUCUCCCAAGACAUCUUCAGUGCGGCAAGUUGAGUACGCUUUACAGAUUCCCACCAGUAAUCUGCCUCUGCUCGCAACAUGUAGGUGGAAAAGGGAACCUUUUGCUCCUUGGAGCAUCCCAAGACAUCAAAUAUCUUGUUGAUCUGCUUUAUCCACGUCUCUGCUUUAAGUGGUUUUGGCUCUCCAAAAAACUCCGGUGGUCCCAACUCCUUGAACUGCUUAGCGGUGACCGUUCAAGAGUUAUUAGUGUUUCCACCUGCAUUUUAGACAGGAGCCGCCUUCGCCUGAUGUUGCAUGAAUUGGAUAAAACCUCUAAACAUCCCAUCAUUCAUCAUUUGAUCAUUGUUGUUUACUUGAGGAUUAUUGUCUUCCUGUUGUACAUUAUCCUGGGUAUUAAUCUGUGGUGACUCAACGGUCUCAUGUGCUUCAUUGCUUAUCUCAACAUUUUUGGAUGUCAUUUUCAAAUACUGCCACAAAACAAAGGUUAAUUAACAUAUCACAUAUUAUCCCUAUACUUUGACCGACCAAUUAAUUACCAAAUAAACUUAGGUAGGUCAUACUAGCGAAGGAAUUUCCCGUCUCUCCCCUCCUAGUUCUUGUCUCAUGUCUCAGCCAGGGAUCAUAUCCCUAAGCUUUUAUACCAACUGUGACGCCCCCAAAACAGGUAUACAUCACCCAUCUUGAGUCGCCAAAUACAUGGUACAGAAUACAAAUAUAAACUUAAUUCUACAAAUGUCGUGUAAUAUACGACAAAACAUAGCUGAGAGUUUAAACAGAAAUAUUGCCUUCUAGACAAUAUCCACUCUCAAAUAGAGUCUUCAUUACAUUUAUUGUUACACUAUUUUAUAGAAUAAUGAGGACUACUAUAACACCAUCUCGGACCAUCACUCCGUUCCCCGACUAGACCCGACUACGUUCUCAUUUCCUGAAGAGAACAAUGAAAGCAAAAGGGUGAGCUCAACUAGCCCAGUAAGAAAUAUUAUGACUAAGAUAAUGCAAGAUAAAUUAUCAUUAGCCUUCAAAAAUGUUAAACUGAUAAAAUACAAUAGACAUCAAGUUUAACUGCAGCGGAAAAAGCAAUCCACUAAAAGAGUCAAGUAGAGCAUAAUAUCUACUAUCUUCUAUGAUUUAAAAUGUUUUCAUCAAUUUUUAUCACUGAGACUCAGCUUAAUAAAUAAACCACAUCAUCGAGUCAUCCCUGCACUACAGGCCAAGGAUAUUCAUUAAAUCAUCAAUGGUCAUGACUAUACCGAAUAAUCCCUGGUCAUAAUCAUACCAAAAACUGUCCAUCAAUGCACUACAGGCCACUGAGGACUUUUACCACAUCAUUUAUAACAUUACAGGUCAUGAUUAUACCGAAUGAUCCCUGGUCAUAAUCAUACCAAGUCCAUCUAUGCACGUAAGCCAAAGAUGACUUUCAUCACAAUAUAAGCAUGAGGAUGAUGACAAUGACAUAAUAAUUCAAUAAAACAAGUUCAAGAAUAAAUUUUAAAGAAUUAUAAGUUAAUUUAUCCUGAAAUCAAUUACGUCCGAAUUGUCAACAUGAUACUGCUUUGUGGAGUAAAAUUCAAGAAUGCUCAGAAGAAUAUUUUCAUGAAAAGAUACUGGAUGAAGCGCAAAUAUCCAGGAUAUUCUACUAAUUUCAUGGAGUAUAGAAGCCAAAACUUUAACCAACUGAGUAUAAUAGAAAUAUGAAACUGUAAAUGGAUUUUCGCCCGCCAUGCGGUAAUCCACGUAGACAGAUCAUUUCCAUAAUUUAAUAAGGAAUGAAUACAAAGGAUCAUUCACCAUGCAUGUGGUAAUCCACAUAGAUAGGUUAUUCCAACAGAAUAAUAAAGAAUGGAAUAACAAAAGAAUUCACCAGGCAUGCGAUAGACCGCACAAAUAGGUUAUUCCAACAGAAUAAUAAAAAAUGUAACCAGGUCAUGCGUAAUCCGCACAGACAGGAUAUUCUAACAGGAUAAUAAAAAAUGGAACCAGGUCAUGCUGAAUCCGCAAAGACAGGAUGUUCCAACAGAAUAAUAAAGAAUGGAAUAACAACAGAAUUCACCAGGCAUGUGAUAGACCGCACAGACAGGUUAUUCUAACAGAAUAAUAAAAAAUGGAACCAGGUCAUGCAUAAUCUGCACAAACAUGAUAUUCCAACAGAAUAAUAAAUAAUGGAAUAACAACAGAAUUCACCAGGCAUGCGAUAGAUCACACAAACAGGUUAUUCUAACAGAUAAUAAAGAAUGGAAUAACAGAAGAAUUUCACUAUGUAUGCGGUACUUCACAUAGACAGGUUAUUCUAACAUAAUAAUAAAGAAUGGAAUAACAACCCUUACGAGUAUUGAAAGAAAAUAAAUCUCUUCAUGAAAUUAGACACUGGAAAUUUUCUGCACACCUGUUACUGACAUUGCAGGAGGGUAUAUUUGUCUUUCAGAGAUAACCCUGGAAGACAGCUGACAUCCAUUUCGGAUACUACCGGAAGUUUAGUUCCAACCCGGAACUCAAACUGGGAACAUCAGUUCCAACCCAGAGCACGAACCGGGAACGUCAUUCCAAACCCCGGAACACACACCGGGAGUGUCAUUUCCAAUCUCAGAGAUAACCCCGAGGUAUGCAGAUCAAAAGACUGGCAACAACACCGGAGAGGACAGUUCUGUCUCAGCGAUAACACCAUGACGCUCAGUUCCAGUCCCAGAAAUAACACUGGGAAUAGCGACUCCAUCCUUGGUGAUAGCCCCAAGGGAUGUUUUUGCAGUUCCGGCGAUAAUUCUGAAAUUGUUUGUUUCAAACACAUGCGAUCAGCUUCAAGCUCAUACCUCCUGACGAGGCACUCAUACCUCAGACCCGGAGCUAAUAAUGGGCAGACAGGCACACCCACAGAUGACAGUGAGGCAUACAAACAAGCAGUCCAAUCCCAGAUAUAACCCUGAGCAACGUCUGCUUUUCGCUCAAACCGGCGAUAACCCCAGUGAGGAGUUAAAACGCCGUCUUACCGCCUCAACAUUUUCUCUCACAAGAUGAUAUCGCAGCAUACCAACAAGUAGUCCAAUCUCAGAUGUAACCCUGAGCAACGUCUACUUUCAACUCAAACCGGCGAUAACCCCGGCGAGGAGUCAAACGUCAUCUUGUCUCUUCAACACCUGCGCGUCAUCUCAACACUACAUAUAUACAUACAUCCAACAAUGUCCCACAAGAACCGAGGAGUUACAAUCCCGAGUGACUAUUACGCAUGGCAGUACUUUGGAUAGAAUUUGAAGCUUGAAGACCAUGGGCAUAGACCCAUCUUCCUGACUUCGUACAACCUCUAAUUCAUGUCAUUGCGUAACUGUCGACACAAGCGGUCCAAAGAAGGUCAGAUAUACAUCGUUCGGAUGCUCGGAUUGAAGUUCUGCAAGUUCGAGCGGAUAUUACAGUGCAUGAGUGCACGUACUUCAAGACGACGGGACCCGUGAGGUUCGGAUGCACCACGACCAGCCGCAGGUACAAUCGCGGCUGCCGCAGGUGUACCUGCGGCCAUCAGUCUAUAAAUAUGAGCCUUGGGGUCCGCCAUUUGAAGAGGAGAAGGAGAGGUAAAGGCGAGGAAGCCCUAUCCAUUUUACUCUGUAUACACAUAUAGCUAUCUUUUAUGAGCCUUGGGGUCAUCUUUAAACACUUGUUAGCUCACAUAUAGCUAUCUUUUAUCCGGCGGGAGCUGAGUGUUUAUCCAUUUAAAGUCAUAGAAGUCUACAUUGGCAACCCACUGUAAGCCUUCUCACAUUAUAUAAAGCCUUCUUCUCAUAUUAGCACACACUGUUAUACACAUUGAGAGUCGUGUUGUGUGCGUUUGCCGGGACUUCGGUCCGUGGUUUUCAUUUCUGUCGGUAUAUAUAUACUUAUAUAUGUAUAUAUUUCAUAUAUGGACUAACAUUAUCGAGUUAUGCCUCGAUUGAGCCUAGACUUCGNNNNNNNNNNNNNNNNNNNNNNNNNNNNNNNNNNNNNNNNNNNNNNNNNNNNNNNNNNNNNNNNNNNNNNNNNNNNNNNNNNNNNNNNNNNNNNNNNNNNNNNNNNNNNNNNNNNNNNNNNNNNNNNNNNNNNNNNNNNNNNNNNNNNNNNNNNNNNNNNNNNNNNNNNNNNNNNNNNNNNNNNNNNNNNNNNNNNNNNNNNNNNNNNNNNNNNNNNNNNNNNNNNNNNNNNNNNNNNNNNNNNNNNNNNNNNNNNNNNNNNNNNNNNNNNNNNNNNNNNNNNNNNNNNNNNNNNNNNNNNNNNNNNNNNNNNNNNNNNNNNNNNNNNNNNNNNNNNNNNNNNNNNNNNNNNNNNNNNNNNNNNNNNNNNNNNNNNNNNNNNNNNNNNNNNNNUAUAUAUAUAUAUAUAUAUAUAUAUUUACCGCUUUUAUAUAUAUUUACAUUUCCGAUCCCCCAUGGAGUUGCUUCGUGGUGGUUGAUCAUGUCUGUAUAUAUAUAUUUACAGCUUUUAUAUAUAUAACUUCUUACUGCUUUCCAUACAAAUUGCAGUAUCAUGUGAGCCUAGGAAUCAUGUGAUCACAGAUUCAGUCUACAGAAUCUAGAUUCGGUUCCCAUGAUGGAUAUUUUUCAGCUGUAAGCAGCUUGUACAUUAUUUUACAGUGUCCAAAUUUCCUUGGAUGGCUGUCAAGCCCAUGAGGAGUUCGGCACUGCUGUAUAUUAUUUUCUCGAGAAUGCUUCGCAUCUCAAAAAUAAAAGCAAACAAGCUAAAUAUUUAAUAAUAAAAUGGAAGUAUCAAAGGCCUCAAUUACUAUUGAACACAGGGUUUGAAAAAACCUCUUUUACAAAACGUCAUUGCUAUAUCUUGUUUAAAACUGAAUUUUUUCAUAAAUUCAAACCCUAUGUAUAUAGGUGCGAACGAGGUACAACACUACUUCCAAAUAAUUGCACAUUGAUCCACACACACACACACACACACAUACACAUUCAUAUAAUAGUUUCUUUGGAAAGUGGCGGUCACCGUGGUAACACAGAUGUCGGGGGGUGCCUAACACCUUCCCUCUGCAUAAUCAAGCCCCCGAACCCAAAAUAAAUCUCGGUUUCAUAGACCCGUCUAGCAGUGUCAAAUCACUGGGUCAAUGUGCAAACCUUUUCGGUUGCGUUGAUGCAACCAGUUAAAUACACCAACUGGCGACUCUUAAAGUCAAAUCGUCGACAUUAUACAUGUCGAACCUUUUUCACUUGUUUUUUCAAACAAAUCUCACAUUAACAUGAGAACACCAAAGAACAAGUAACGAAAAGGGACACUCGAAAAUCCCGACGUCGACAGGCGGCGACUCUGCUGGGGACUCCAGUAAGAGGGCUUAAGCCGCUAUUACAAGAUUUUCAAAAUUGUUAUAUGCUUGUGUAUGAAUGUUGCAUUUACAUUUCUGAUAAAUAUGUACGAAUGCAUUUUUAUUUACUGCACUGCUAAAUAUCUAUCUGUGAUAUUAGUGCUUCGCACAUGUUAUCAUUUUGCAUAAACGGUAAGAUACGUUGUAUGUGAAUGUAUGUUGUGUGGUUCCUCCAUCAGGAGGCUAUCCUGUCGGUGUUUGAUUACAGGACUUGUAGGAAGAAUAAUUCCAACGAGGCUCAGGAAAGGCAUCACCCAGAUUCGCUCCAAUUGAAAGACCAGAUUAACUUUUCGUCGAGUAAAUUGCGAUGAUCUGGGAACCUUCAUGCCAAAAAGCCGCGAGAGUAACCCUAAGAUAGGUCAUGUAGCGCCCCCGAAUCGUCGCGGAUCCGGUUCGCUAUUUUUAUAACUGUUGCGGAAGAUAUAAACAUAAAUUGUUUAUACAUUAAACAUUAUACACUAUCCCCAAGGUCGAGUAACCAUAACUUAUACACAUUUCAUAACUUAUCUGACACAUGAUAUUAUCAUACAAGACUAUUAUAAAUCUAAUCACGCAUAUUAACUCUAAGCUGGAACUGUCUUUAACUUUCCUUGUAUCCGAAGCAUUCGUCUUUAUCUGCAAUAUUUUAUCAUGAUAUAGAAAGGGUGUGCAUGAAAGUUGCCCAGCAAGUUUAAAUACAAUUUAAGGAUAUAUCAUGAUUGAAAGAGUCUGAAUAAUAAGCUGGCUAUAAUUCACAAUGUAGUUGUGAAUUAGCAUGAACAAACUUUUGACUGAACAAGUAUUACAUAUGAACAAUAUAUAUCUGGACCAACUGGUAAUGAAGGUGAUCAGCCUUUCAUACCUGACUUAUACAUACAAGAUGUACAGAGUACAAUUCUACAUGGCAAUCAGUAAUGAUUAACCAUAAGCAUAUCUGAAUGAAACACUCUUAGUAGAGUUAAGAAAAACAAACUUGCCUGUUCCGUUGAUUACCGAUACGAAAAAUAACUUAGCUUUAUCCGAAGACCUAAUACAGAUAAUACCGAUCUCCAAAUAUUAGAAUAAUAUCAUCACAGUAUAAAAUAACCUAAACACAUUAUCACAUAAUCCUGUCAGUCUAUACAACACAUAAGACUUAGCAUCAAAUCAGACUAUUUAAGUCUAAGUUGAAACCGACACAAUUCAAUCAUCCCGACGGUCAAAUCGGACAAUAUCGAGUUUAAGUUCAAUUAAACUCUGCCUAAACAAUUAACAAUAAUCUUAGAUAAUCAUAGUAUCAGUCAAAACAUUUUUCAUAAACUUGCAAAAAUUUUCAGAUAAUUAAUAUCAUUUAACAACAUUUUUCAAUCAUUAAUACUGUAUUUAAAUGAAUUAAAUACCACAAUAUUCUAAUAUCAUUAAUAUUUAUUUAAUAUUAAACAUUAAUGAAACACAUGUCAUAAUAUUAUAACAUAUUUGUAAUAUCUCAAAGUAUUUUCAAUACUUUAUUAUUUCCUUUAAAUGUUUUUAAAGUAAUUAAAAACAUAAACCAAUAACUGAUAUUAAUAUAAAUACCACAUUAUUCCUUGAUCAUUAAUAUUAAUUUAAUACCAAAUAUCAAUGAAAAUCAUAACAUAAUAUUAUAAUAUAAUUAUAACAUCACAAAGUAUUUUAAUACUUAAAAAUCAUAUUUCUAUGAUUUUUAAACAAUCAAAUUCAUUAUCCGAUAAUUGCUAUAAAUAUUAAAAUAUUAAUAUUUUCAUGACAAAAUAUCAAAAGUUAUAUUUUAUAACUCAAAAUAUUUUUAUAACACUUAAAUCAUUUUUAUAUGAUUUUUAAAGCAUUAAUUCUAUUUUUCCAUAAUUUUCCAAGUUCCUUUAGUAUUUUUCAAAAAUCAUUUCUAGUUAAUUCCUUAAGAAAUUAGCUACCUUGUGCUUAACUCCAGAAAUUCCCAUCUUCUGACACAAUCUUACACAUGUUAUCGUGAGUCUCCAGUUUAAAUUUCGUGGCAAUCGGAGUUGUAGAACUCCGGUUAUAGCCGUUUUCGUCGGAAAAUCACAAAAAUUGAAAUGGUCAUAACUCGGUCAUUUUAAGUCGGAAUUAGCUCAUUUUUGGACACAAGGUACUUAAUACCAUAUAUUUUCAUUUCCCAAAAGGCCGGAAUUUAUUUCAUAAAUUAAAUUACCGAAACAGCCCUCACAAAAUAUUAGCAGCUUACUUUUUGUCAAAAACAGUUUUGGAGUCCUUUACUAAAUCUUAAAUAAAAUGAGAUCUAUAACUCCGAUUAAUGAUCCGUCAAUUUUGUUGGAUUCGUAUCUUUCCGAUCUACAAUUUUCAUCUAUCACAAUCCAUAUUUGGACAUGUUAAGCUCUCGGAAAUUAGCCCGGAAGUGGCUGUUAAAAACUGUUGCUCUAACAGUUUUUCUUACCUUUGAGUAGUUUGGGAGAAAUUCCAUAACUUGCUCAUUUUUCAACCUAAUUGAGUGAUUCCAAAGGGGUUUUAUCCUUAACACAUAUAUCUAGCUCCACAAAUUGACCACACUCAAAAAUUCAAAGUAGAAUGAGAGAUAAGGUCAUUUCCAUAUCAUGCUUGGUUUCUCCAAAAAUUUUGUUUUCGCAGUUUUGAUUAUGCUUCUUCCGAACGUCAUAACUACUUCAUCCGGAGUCCGAAUUAGUCCGUUCCGGAGUCUAUGGAAAGCUUAUUUAGUGUACUACAACAUAUCAAAAGUCCAGAAUUUUUAGACCAUCCAAACAAAUCCGGAAUUUUCUGUUUAGGGGCAGCAGUUACCAAUUCAUUUUAAAAAAACUGUUUUGGUUCUUCUUCUUUGUUCAAGCUCAUCAACCUUAAAAAUGGCAAGAUCUAACCAUAAAAUAUCAUAUAUUAUGUAGACCUUCCCUCAUAUGGUUCAAAAUCAUAAGUUCAACACUUGGUCUAAAACAACCAUAACAAAACACAUAAACUAACUAGAGUUUUGAGUUUAGGAAAUUUUCAUACCUUUAGUUAUAAUCCUCUAGCUUUUGGUGGCCCUCUUUCUUUGCUUUCCAAAGUAGGAGAUUAAAUUAUUGGACAUCCAAGGACCCUCUCUUCUCCCUCCAUGGGAGUGGCCGAACACCACCUCUCCCUCUCUCAUGAUUUUAUUUUGCUAGCUAACUUGGAAAUAAUAAUAUAAGAGAGAAAUAGCUUUUGUGACUUUAUAAAAAUGUAUAGAUAUAAUUGUAUAUCUAAUAAUCAUCUCCCCACUCACUUUCUCUUUCUCUUUCUCUCAUUGCAAGAAUAAUAAAAGUGAUGAAAGACAAAAAAAAAAAGAUAGAUUUUUAUGAAGUGUGGUUUUUAAUUACCCAAACCCACUUCUCUUCUUCUCUCUUGUUUCAUCCGGCCAUGUGCCUUAUCAAUUCUCUCUUUCUCCCUUAGUCAAUUGCCAAAGGAUUGCUUGCAAGAAAGAACAAACAUGUUGGCAAAAUAACAAAUUGAC
This 26889-nucleotide long non-coding RNA is filed under the name Panax ginseng (ginseng). RNAcentral's name for it is "long non-coding RNA (PGIN_LNC003713)". Lineage: Eukaryota; Viridiplantae; Streptophyta; Magnoliopsida; Apiales; Araliaceae. The record is from RNAcentral.